CCAAGGUUCACUCUAUAGGCUACACCUUUGCUCUAAUACAUCAUCCCGUUCUACAGCCUUCACUGGAAUGCCCUUCAAGGACGCUGGACCGGAGCUUUUGCUAUGGAUCUGCAGUAGAGCAUGUAUGUUGGGACCCGAAAGAUGGUGAACUAUGCCUGAAUAGGGUGAAGCCAGAGGAAACUCUGGUGGAGGCUCGUAGCGAUUCUGACGUGCAAAUCAAUCAUUGAAUUUGGGUAUAGGGGUGAAAGACUAAUUGAACCAUCUAGUAGCUGG
RNAcentral lists this non-coding RNA (273 nucleotides) under Rhizopogon vinicolor AM-OR11-026. RNAcentral's name for it is "Eukaryotic large subunit ribosomal RNA". It matches the Rfam family "Eukaryotic large subunit ribosomal RNA", at positions 709 to 954 of the family's 3401-position model. The record is from Rfam by way of RNAcentral. Lineage: Eukaryota; Fungi; Basidiomycota; Agaricomycetes; Boletales; Rhizopogonaceae.